AUUGAACGCUGGCGGCACGCUUAACACAUGCAAGUCGAACGGCAGCAUGGUGUGUGCUUGCACACACUGAUGGCGAGUGGCGGACGGGUGAGUAAUGCGCAGGAAUAUGCCUUAAAGAGGGGGAUAACAUGGGGAAACUCAUGCUAAUACCGCAUGUGCUCUGAGGAGCGAAGCUGGGGACCGUUAGGCCUGGCGCUUUAAGAAUAGCCUGCGUCUGAUUAGCUAGUUGGUGGGGUAAAGGCCUACCAAGGCGAUGAUCGGUAGCUGGUCUGAGAGGAUGGACAGCCACACUGGGACUGAGACACGGCCCAGACUCCUACGGGAGGCAGCAGUGGGAAUAUUGGACAAUGGGGGGAACCCUGAUCCAGCGAUGCCGCGUGUGUGAAGAAGGCCUGAGGGUUGUAAAGCACUUUUAGUGGGGAGGAGGGCUUACAGGUUAAGAGCUAGUGAGUUGGACGUUACCCACAGAA
This 470-nucleotide ribosomal RNA is filed under the name uncultured bacterium. Its description in RNAcentral is "bacterial SSU rRNA". It matches the Rfam family "Bacterial small subunit ribosomal RNA", at positions 30 to 486 of the family's 1533-position model. The record is from RNAcentral.